Molecule: ribosomal RNA, 253 nt
Filed under: uncultured bacterium
Lineage: Bacteria
Description: partial 16S ribosomal RNA
Rfam family: Bacterial small subunit ribosomal RNA
Source: RNAcentral
UACGGGGGGGGCAAGCGUUGUUCGGAAUUACUGGGCGUAAAGGGCUCGUAGGCGGCCAACUAAGUCAGACGUGAAAUCCCUCGGCUUAACCGGGGAACUGCGUCUGAUACUGGAUGGCUUGAGUUUGGGAGAGGGAUGCGGAAUUCCAGGUGUAGCGGUGAAAUGCGUAGAUAUCUGGAGGAACACCGGUGGCGAAGGCGGCAUUCUGGACCAACACUGACGCUGAGGAGCGAAAGCCAGGGGAGCAAACGGG